UUUCCGUAGGUGAACCUGCGGAAGGAUCAUUAACGCACCAAAUGUGAGGUUCAUGCGAGGGCUGUCACUGUCCCAAAAGACGUGCACGCCCGAGUGUGUCUUCUUGCAUAAUAAUCCAUCUCACCCUACGUGCAUCACCGCGUGGGCACCCUUCGGUAUCAUCUCGGUGGGGGGCUCGCUUUUUCCCCCAAACCCCCCUUUUAGAUGUGUAGAAUGACCACAUUUAUGCACUCAAUACAACUUUCAACAACGGAUAUCUUGGCUCUC
This 267-nucleotide unclassified non-coding RNA is filed under the name plant metagenome. RNAcentral's name for it is "partial contains small subunit ribosomal RNA, internal transcribed spacer 1, and 5.8S ribosomal RNA". The record is from RNAcentral.